AACGAACGCUGGCGGCAUGCCUAACACAUGCAAGUCGAACGAAGCCUUCGGGCUUAGUGGCGCACGGGUGCGUAACGCGUGGGAAUCUGCCCUUUGGUUCGGAAUAACAGUUGGAAACGACUGCUAAUACCGGAUGAUGACGAAAGUCCAAAGAUUUAUCGCAAGAGGAUGAGCCCGCGUAGGAUUAGCUAGUUGGUGUGGUAAAGGCGAACCAAGGCGACGAUCCUUAGCUGGUCUGAGAGGAUGAUCAGCCACACUGGGACUGAGACACGGCCCAGACUACUACGGGAGGCAGCAGUGGGGAAUAUUGGACAAUGGGCGAAAGCCUGAUCCAGCAAUGCCGCGUGAGUGGUGAAGGCCCUAGGGUUGUAAAGCUCUUUUACCCGGGAUGAUAAUGACAGUACCGGGAGAAUAAGCCCCGGCUAACUCCGUGCCAGCCGCCGCAGUAA
This 449-nucleotide ribosomal RNA is filed under the name uncultured bacterium. RNAcentral describes it as "partial 16S ribosomal RNA". It matches the Rfam family "Bacterial small subunit ribosomal RNA", at positions 29 to 523 of the family's 1533-position model. The record is from RNAcentral.